Myotis brandtii (Brandt's bat) is the source of this 107-nucleotide non-coding RNA. The record is from Rfam. NCBI's taxonomy places the organism in Eukaryota, Metazoa, Chordata, Mammalia, Chiroptera, Vespertilionidae.
GUGUUCUCUUUGGCAGCACAUAUACUAAAAUUGGGAUGAUGCAGAGAAGGUUAGCAUGGCCCCUGUGCAAGGAUGAUGUGCAAAUUCAUGAAGCGUUUUAUAUUUCU